This 254-nucleotide ribosomal RNA is filed under the name uncultured bacterium. RNAcentral's name for it is "partial 16S ribosomal RNA". It matches the Rfam family "Bacterial small subunit ribosomal RNA", at positions 524 to 776 of the family's 1533-position model. The record is from RNAcentral.
UACGAAGGGGGCUAGCGUUGUUCGGAUUUACUGGGCGUAAAGCGCACGUAGGCGGUUUGUUAAGUCAGAGGUGAAAUCCCGGAGCUCAACUCCGGAACUGCCUUUGAUACUGGCAAGCUAGAGUCCGGAAGAGGUAAGUGGAACUCCUAGUGUAGAGGUGGAAUUCGUAGAUAUUAGGAAGAACACCAGUGGCGAAGGCGGCUUACUGGUCCGGAACUGACGCUGGAGGUGCGAAAGCGUGGGGAGCAAACAGG